GGACAAGCUCUCCACAAACGGCUGCAGUUCUGAUUCAUUUACUUCUGCAACUUUAAUGAACGGCUGCCCAUUCAAGGGAUCCAAUAUUGUAUUCCAACUAGAAGAUUUUGUCCACUUGCCCUGCACCAAGUUGUGAACUUCAGCAGGUUGAGAGCCUGAUACUUCUUCAGCUUUUACAGUAGCAAAAGACAAAGUGUGGUUUGAUCUUCUAGAAUCGAAUAAAGUGAUCCAAUUGAGAUGACUAGAAGAAGCUCUCUUCUGCAAUUGCCUGUAUGCGGAAAGUCGAUACAUCAUUCUCUUCCAAACUUUUC
RNAcentral lists this unclassified non-coding RNA (311 nucleotides) under Hevea brasiliensis (rubber tree). Lineage: Eukaryota; Viridiplantae; Streptophyta; Magnoliopsida; Malpighiales; Euphorbiaceae. The record is from RNAcentral.